This 73-nucleotide transfer RNA is filed under the name Fodinibius salinus. Its description in RNAcentral is "Bacteroidetes bacterium YIM D17 tRNA". It matches the Rfam family "tRNA". Rfam says of the family: Transfer RNA (tRNA) molecules are approximately 80 nucleotides in length. Their secondary structure includes four short double-helical elements and three loops (D, anti-codon, and T loops). Lineage: Bacteria; Pseudomonadati; Balneolota; Balneolia; Balneolales; Balneolaceae. The record is from Rfam by way of RNAcentral.
ACGGGUGUAGCUCAAUUGGCAGAGCAGUGGUCUCCAAAACCGAAGGUUGUGGGUUCGAGUCCUUCCACCCGUG